UCUAAUAUGGCAGAAUUAGUGCAAUAGAUUUAAGACCUAUAAAUAAAGGAAUCAAUUAAACCUUUUAUUAGAA
RNAcentral lists this transfer RNA (73 nucleotides) under Pseudoglomeris magnifica. Its description in RNAcentral is "tRNA-Leu". It matches the Rfam family "tRNA". Rfam says of the family: Transfer RNA (tRNA) molecules are approximately 80 nucleotides in length. Their secondary structure includes four short double-helical elements and three loops (D, anti-codon, and T loops). The record is from RNAcentral. Lineage: Eukaryota; Metazoa; Arthropoda; Insecta; Blattodea; Blaberidae. RNAcentral also lists the same sequence under 1 other name.